UACGAACCGUGCGAACGUUGUUCGGAAUCACUGGGCGUAAAGGGCGCGUAGGCGGCCCGCUAAGUCGAACGUGAAAUCCCCAGGCUCAACCUGGGAACUGCGUCCGAUACUGGCAGGCUUGAAUCCGGGAGAGGGAUGUGGAAUUCCAGGUGUAGCGGUGAAAUGCGUAGAUAUCUGGAGGAACACCGGUGGCGAAGGCGGCAUCCUGGACCGGUAUUGACGCUGAGGCGCGAAAGCUAGGGGAGCAAACGGG
This 253-nucleotide ribosomal RNA is filed under the name uncultured bacterium. Its description in RNAcentral is "partial 16S ribosomal RNA". It matches the Rfam family "Bacterial small subunit ribosomal RNA", at positions 524 to 776 of the family's 1533-position model. The record is from RNAcentral.